GGCCCGGCGGGAACAAACAGCUGCCGCGGCGGGAGCUGGCUCGGGUGGCUGGAGGCGGGUCCUCCUCUGCCCGCAGAUCCCGCAAACGCUCCGCUCCCCGGAGCCGCCGCCUGGAGCCAGUGCGCUGAGCCCCUGGAUGUUAAGGUCCACGCGGGCGCCAAACGGAGCCGGGAGAAGUAGCGACAGCCCCCACCCUUCAUCUACCCAAGGCAGCGCCCUGGGCCACCAAGGCCGAAGCGCAGUUGGAGCUCGAGCGGGAGCCUGAGACGGCCCGACCUAAGCCGCCCGAGCUGGGCCCGCCGGAUCCCAAGCGGCUUCCGGCCCAAGGGGAGACGCAGUUGAGUGACCGCGAGGAGCAAACUUGGCGCCCUCAGCCUCGGGCCUCGGAGAGGUGAGAGAUUCCGGCCGCGAGGAGAUCCCUCUCCUCCCUUCCAAAGCCGAGACCCCGCCACACAUCCUCUUGCCGCGGCGCGGGACCCCGGACGCAGGAGUGUGUGCGGGGAGACCCGGGGAGCGCGUCGCCCUCUCCCCGAAGCUUCUGUGCGGCGCUUUGGCCGCAUUCCGGGAGCGCGGACCGAUCCAUCGCUCUGAGUUUGCCUGCACCCCGCCCUUUUCGGUACGGGUAUCCGUUUGUCUUGGGCUCUGUGACUCUGUGUCUCUCGCCUUCGGUGAAUCUCUGCCUUGUUUCCUCUGGAAACCCUGCAUUUGUCUGGGUGUCUCUUCGUGGGUCCGAGAAUCCCUCGCUCCAUUUCCCUACCCCCAGUCGCACUGCAGGGCUGCUCCCCCUUUCUGGCCGGACUUGUAGGCUCUACGGACCGGCCACAGGACCCCGACAGACACCUUCCUCAGUGAACCCUGACCUCAGCUCUAGGCCAGCGUUGCCUCGUCUCUCAGGAGCCCGUGCACACAAGCCGCCUCCCGGCACCCCUAUCCUGGAACUACGUCGGGGGGGCCUCGCUUGAGCCCCAGCACCGAGCAGCGGUUGAGACCCGGACGAGCUGCGGAGCCUGCCGACUCUGGUUCGCGGGAAGAGGGUUGCGGGCCCAGGCAAGGGUGAAAACAGCGCGGCUCCGCAGCCGCCCAACCUGGGGCUCUGGCUUCGCAGCGACCGCGGUGCUACAGGCUCCCCUCGCUGCGGAGACGCACAGCUGGGGGCAAGGGAGAGGGGACUCUUCCAGGUGUGUCGGAGCGUCAGCCUCAGGUCUGAGUGCCCCUAUUGUCUAAGUGCGUCCCGGGUUUUUGCGAACGAGGGUCUGUUUCUCCUCCCUCCGCGUGCGUGUGCCCCUCCGGACGCCGGUGGCUCUGUGUGUCCGACCCGCGCCUGUCCUGAUUGCUCCCCUGCCAACCGCACGAUCGGUGCGGGGACUGCCCUGGAAGCCUCGCCGGCCAGACCCACCGCUCUGCCCCAGCGCCGGAAGCGGCAGGACGUGGCUGGGACUGCGAACCCACUCCAGGCCCGCAGCGGUGACCCUGGCGGGGAAGGAGGAUGUGUGAGGGUGCAAGCGUGGGUGUGGGUUUGGGACGAGAGCCGGGAGAGAGAGGAGAGCGCACCGGCAGGGCGCGGCGGAGAGCCGGGAAGAGUGUAGCGGCGGCCUCCUGCCCACCAACUGCACGCCGCCCGCUGGAGUAGCAAGACCUCGGGACCCGGACGCCCUUCCGCAGCCCUGAAGUGGGGCAAGGCGGGAGGGAAGGGGGGGGGGGCCCAGCCGAACCCGGUAACCGGCGCAACACGCACACGCGCGCGCCAUCGAGUUUAGCCUUUCGGAGCCCCAGGCAGGGUUGCUGUGAAACAGUAAGCCCCUGCGUGGUUGGGGAAAUGAUGCCGGGUGCCUGACCCCUCUGGAGCCCGUGCGGAGCCGCGUAAGCCCCACAGAAGCAAAGCGAGGGGACCAGAGGGCGUCUCGGCCUUGCCAUGUAGACCCGGUGACCGAUUCCUGGGGAACAGCGACCUCUGGAGGAGCGGCGCGUCCACGCAGAGAGUCAGGAACUGGACGACCAGGUCUAGGACCAGAGGGCCCUUUCUCCACCCCACCCCUUUGGCAAACUCAUCCAGAGACUCAUAACCUCCAGACUCCUCUUCGCGCAUGCUUGCUUCCUUUCCCAACCUGUACUCAUGCUUCAAAUCCUUGCUGAGAUCCCGCCACCUCCAGAAAGAAGGCUUCUUGGGAGCCCAAAGCAUCUUGCCCUCUUCCUGCUCUGAGCUCCUCAAACUGAAAGCCUGAACCCUUGACAACAGCGCUUGCACCCCGUUCUGCACAGCCGACCUGCUUCCUGCCUCGCCCUUCUCCAAAAAGCCGUUAAUCCAUACGCUCCACCCACCCUUUGCAUUGCAUGCUGGGUGUGCUGUUUUUCUUUCCCUCCAGUAAAUAAAAGACUUAAGCCAUUUAUCCCAAAA
Callorhinus ursinus (northern fur seal) is the source of this 2395-nucleotide long non-coding RNA. RefSeq lists it as uncharacterized. Lineage: Eukaryota; Metazoa; Chordata; Mammalia; Carnivora; Otariidae. The record is from RefSeq and is a predicted model, not a curated record.